CAGGUGGGCCGGGCGACCGCGCGGCGUCGUCGUUCGCGACGGCGUCUCGAGGAAAGUCCGGGCUCCGCAGAGCAGGACGGUGGGUAACACCCACUCGGGGAAACCCGCAGGACAGUGCCACAGAAAACAGACCGCCCGCCACGAGCGGGUCAGGGUGAAAAGGUGGUGUAAGAGACCACCAGCGGCCCCGGUGACGGGGCCGGCUCGGUAAACCCCAUCCGGUGCAAGGCCGAACAGGACGCGUCACGAGGGCUGCUCGC
This 260-nucleotide RNase P RNA is filed under the name Xanthomonas citri pv. citri. RNAcentral's name for it is "partial RNase P RNA component class A". It matches the Rfam family "Bacterial RNase P class A", at positions 1 to 258 of the family's 367-position model. From Rfam's summary of the family: Ribonuclease P (RNase P) is a ubiquitous endoribonuclease, found in archaea, bacteria and eukarya as well as chloroplasts and mitochondria. Its best characterised activity is the generation of mature 5'-ends of tRNAs by cleaving the 5'-leader elements of precursor-tRNAs. Lineage: Bacteria; Pseudomonadati; Pseudomonadota; Gammaproteobacteria; Lysobacterales; Lysobacteraceae. The record is from RNAcentral.